UGCCUAGGUGUUUGAGAGCCUUUAUCUACC
Molecule: non-coding RNA, 30 nt
Filed under: Mus musculus (house mouse)
Lineage: Eukaryota; Metazoa; Chordata; Mammalia; Rodentia; Muridae
Source: RNAcentral